This 1172-nucleotide ribosomal RNA is filed under the name Holcopasites ruthae. RNAcentral describes it as "eukaryotic LSU rRNA". It matches the Rfam family "Eukaryotic large subunit ribosomal RNA", at positions 401 to 1266 of the family's 3401-position model. The record is from RNAcentral. Lineage: Eukaryota; Metazoa; Arthropoda; Insecta; Hymenoptera; Apidae.
GAAACCGUUCAGGGGUAAACCUGAGAAACCCAAAAGAUCGAAUGGGGAGAUUCAUCGUCAACGAGGCUGGCUCCCGUUGGUGCGCGAUGCCCCGAAUGUGGGCCCUCGUGGUUCCAUGGCGAGGGCACGCCACCUUCGGCCUGAACGUUCCGGCAACGUAGUCGUGCACUUCUCCCCUAGUAGAACGUCGCGACCCGUUGCGCGUCGGUCUACGGCCCGAGUUUUUGACGUCUGUCGCGUCGCUUCUGCGCACGCGGCAAGCCCUCGGUCGCCCGGCCGGCUGCGCGACGGUACUCGCACGGUAUCGGGCCGCAACCAAUCACAUUCUCGAAUGUGCGUGUGCGUCAGGCCCGCCGCAAGCUCGGUCAGUUUUACCCGGAGGUGCGGACCUGGUGCCGUCCCCGGGCCUGACCAGCUGUUAGCAGGCGGUGUCCUCGGACUGGCCAAGCUUCGAAUUACCGGUCGGCGACGCUACUGCUUUGGGUACUCUCAGGACCCGUCUUGAAACACGGACCAAGGAGUCUAACAUUUGCGCGAGUCAUUGGGAUGAUAUAAAACCUAAAGGCGAAAUGAAAGUGAAGGUCGGCCUCCGCGUCGACCUAGGGAGGAUGGGCCGCGUUACGAUGCGGCCCCGCACUCCCGGGGCGUUUUCGAUCUCAUUGCGAGAAGAGGCGCACCUAGAGCGUACACGUUGGGACCCGAAAGAUGGUGAACUAUGCCUGGUCAGGACGAAGUCAGGGGAAACCCUGAUGGAGGUCCGUAGCGAUUCUGACGUGCAAAUCGAUCGUCGGAACUGGGUAUAGGGGCGAAAGACUAAUCGAACCAUCUAGUAGCUGGUUCCCUCCGAAGUUUCCCUCAGGAUAGCUGGCACUCGCUCGUUCCUCUGUGAACGCGUGCGAGUCUCAUCUGGUAAAGCGAAUGAUUAGAGGCCUUGGGGCCGAAACGACCUCAACCUAUUCUCAAACUUUAAAUGGGUGAGAUCUCUGGCUUGCUUGGAUUAUGAAGCCACGAGAUUUUGGAUCAGAGUGCCAAGUGGGCCAAUUUUGGUAAGCAGAACUGGCGCUGUGGGAUGAACCAAACGCAGAGUUAAGGCGCCUAAGUCGACGCUUAUGGGAUACCAUGAAAGGCGUUGGUUGCUUAAGACAGCAGGACGGUGGCCAUGGAAGUCGGAA